RNAcentral lists this unclassified non-coding RNA (308 nucleotides) under plant metagenome. RNAcentral's name for it is "partial contains 5.8S ribosomal RNA, internal transcribed spacer 2, and large subunit ribosomal RNA". The stretch from base 1 to 105 matches the Rfam family "5.8S ribosomal RNA", at positions 50 to 154 of the family's 154-position model. The record is from RNAcentral.
GAAAUGCGAUAAGUAGUGUGAAUUGCAGAAUUCAGUGAAUCAUCGAAUCUUUGAACGCACAUUGCGCCCUUUGGUAUUCCAAAGGGCAUGCCUGUUCGAGCGUCAUUUGUACCCUCAAGCUUUGCUUGGUGUUGGACGUCUUGUCUCUAGCUUUGCUGGAGACUCGCCUUAAAGUAAUUGGCAGCCGGCCUACUGGUUUCGGAGCGCAGCACAAGUCGCACUCUCUAUCAGCAAAGGUCUAGCAUCCAUUAAGCCUUUUUUUCAACUUUUGACCUCGGAUCAGGUAGGGAUACCCGCUGAACUUAAGC